UUUUAUGAGAAUCCUGAUAAGAGAGGUAGAAUUGUGAAAAAAAAGAACAAGAUAUAUUUGUUUUGUAUAAUUUAAAAUGGAAGAACAGUUGUAACAUCUCCAUCAGUUGGGUUAUUAGAUAAUGAUCUAAGCUAACUCAGACCAGCCUCAUUAAGAUAACCAAAGAAGAGUAAGAGAGGCAUAUAUUAAGAUUGUUGUUAUUUUUCUUAUUCCAAGCUUGAGAUUUUAAUAGAAUGUUUCGUGUUUAUUUGGGGAAUGUGGAUCCAAAGAUUGUUGUGGAUGAACAUAAAGACAAUUCUGUGAUUCGAGCAGCUAGAAGGUGAAGAGAUUUUUCUCUACCUUUACAAUUUUUAUUGUUGUUAAAUAUGAUCUUGUUGAUGUGUAUAUAUACUUGUUUGCUUUUGAUUUACUUGUUUGCUUUCGACUUAUUUUUUCAGAAUGUUUGCAGUUUUGUAUGUUGUGAUUUAAAGGGGAAGAAUCCUUUUCUAACUUUCCGAUUUUAGUUAAAUCUGAGAUUCCACAAUAAGCCAUGCAGAUUUAUCAUUUAUGGUUUCUGAUUAAUCCACCAUAGUCAUCACUGGUGGUGUAGGAGCCAUCAGAAUUCAGCAUAUGCUAUCCCAGGUGGGGGAUCCAUAUAUAACAUGUUUGAACUUGAGAUUUAUUUCAAUAACAUAUUAUUUGCAAAUUGGAUUGAUUUUUUGAGUUUUUUUAAAGUACAUUAGAAUGUUGUCAAGUGGAGUGUAUGUCUAAUAUUGAGUGCUCUAACUUCAGGGUAAUAUGUUUAUUUUAAAGUGCUUUAAUUUUUAUUUUGAUCUGUAUUUGAAUAAAUUUUCUAUUGUCCAUUCGAGAGUAUGCUUGUAAUGUUGCACACUUAAAUAUAAUUCUACUUGAUUGGAUGGUUGUUUUUGUAGGACGGUUGGACUGUUUUCGACUCGUCUUAAGAGUUAUUUUGCUAUUCAUCGACAAAUUUUUAAGGACGAAAGGGCUCAUUUUAAGAGUUAUUUGGGGGCCUAUCGAUUAUUUUUCAAGGACGAAAAGGGAAGAUAAGCCUUUGAAAAAUAUCGUUCUACUCGUAAUACAAUCGUGGAAAAUUGUGUAAAAAUAUUGGCAUAUGUUUGUACCUCAAAAAUGGUCGUUGAUAGUUGGAUAAUUGUUAUCCUUCUAAUCAAAAGAAU
This 1175-nucleotide long non-coding RNA is filed under the name Aquilegia coerulea. RNAcentral's name for it is "long non-coding RNA (ACOE_LNC000443)". Lineage: Eukaryota; Viridiplantae; Streptophyta; Magnoliopsida; Ranunculales; Ranunculaceae. The record is from RNAcentral.